Molecule: unclassified non-coding RNA, 299 nt
Filed under: uncultured Ascomycota
Lineage: Eukaryota; Fungi; Ascomycota
Description: sequence contains ITS1
Rfam family: 5.8S ribosomal RNA (bases 1-105)
Source: RNAcentral
GAAAUGCGAUAAGUAAUGUGAAUUGCAGAAUUCAGUGAAUCAUCGAAUCUUUGAACGCACAUUGCGCCCGCUAGUAUUCUGGCGGGCAUGCCUGUUCGAGCGUCAUUUCAACCAUCAAGCUCUAGGCUUGUGUUGGGGCCCUGCGGCCGUCCGCAGCCCCCUAAAAACAGUGGCGGGCUCGCUAUACACCGAGUGCAGUAGUUUACUCUUCGCUUAGGACGUGUACUGGGUUCCGGCCGUAAAACCCCCAAUUUAUCAAGGUUGACCUCGGAUCAGGUAGGAAUACCCGCUGAGUUUAA